Molecule: long non-coding RNA, 1312 nt
Organism: Cyprinus carpio carpio
Lineage: Eukaryota; Metazoa; Chordata; Actinopteri; Cypriniformes; Cyprinidae
Source: Ensembl
AUACAGCAGUCGGCUUAACAGGCAGCUCUCUUUUAACACAGACUUUUAAGAAGGGAUGGAUAUUUGCGUCAAGUGAUAGGCCAGCUCUUCACAAGCAAACUGUUCGAGCCUCUUGCCUGCCAGCCAGUCAAGAUGGCCCCCCAACCCUGCAGCCAAUCCCACGGUCGGGCACGCAGAAGAAAACCGCAGGCCAGCUGAUCCUCUCCCUGGCUACCUUCAUCUGCUCCUGCGGAAAUUUUUGGACUUGCAUGAAUUUUCAAGAGCUUCAUGGUCUACUGGGCUGGAGCAUUUCAGGAAGGAAAGAAUGGGGAGAAAGCCCUUGAGUCAUAUUCAGGCCUCAGAAAUCUUUUACUUGAUAACCCUGCUACAAAUGAUCACUAUGGCUUGAAAUGAGGGGAAAGGCCAUGGUUAAGUAGCGUUUGGCAGCUAGCACCUUUUUUUAAUUGUGUGUCGCAUGCUGUGUUUGGAGAUUUCACACGAUUUAGCCCCAGUCAGCAUGGAGAACGUGGCCCUAGCAAGAUGUUAUUGUGACUGUAAACAAUCCUCCUUACACAAGUUAUUGCUAAACAGCUAAGUUUCUUAUAAGCAAAUCAUUUUUGACUUUUAUUUCAGAUAUUUUGUGAAGAUUCACAUUAAUUGUCCCAGAAAGUGCUUAUCUCGACUCAUCCCUCUACCUAAUUUGCAGCCUUACUACCUCAUGGCUAACACGCUAAUGACUGAAACCUCCAACCUCCCCUUCCUAGAAAGAGGAAUAAAUGGCUAUGUGCAAAUAGAUUAUGAUGAACUGCUUGAACUGCAAUUAAGGCAGAAGGAAGAGAAGGAGAUGACAGCAGUUUAGACAACAAUUUGGGCAACUGCAGCUGCAGCUGCUUUGUGGUUUAAUGCAGUAAUUGAUAGACUCUGCCUGUCACUAGAGGGAUCAGAAUGCAAACUUAAAUUACCAUCAUUAGGGUUCUCCUAAUUGCAGCAUUACAUGCAAAGCCUGUUUUUGUUUGUUAUUAUAAAACGACUCUUCUGUUAUCUAAUUUGUUCGGGCAGAUCUUCCCUUCCUUUAAUACGGAAACAAAUUAGAAUUCGGAUUUGGAGCUCAAUGGAAAAUCCAGACACUUUCCGAAUCGUGGUCAUAAUAUGAACAUAAUCACAGCUAAGCAUUAUUUCAUUAAACAGGUGCAGUGAUUAUGCAUCUUAAAGUGUUUGUUUGCAAAUUUGAAUCAAUCAAAUGGACCCAUUGAGAGCAUCUUGAUCUAUUUACUGAUUAUACGAUUGCAAACUGGCAUAAUCAUCAAUUUAUUCUCACGUGCAAUGAAACAUC